GCACGGGUAGCAAUAUCUGGUGGCGACCGGCGCACGGGUGCGUAACACGUAUACAAUCUACCCUUAACAGGGGGAUAGCCCUCCGAAAGGAGGAUUAAUACCCCAUAAUAAAUUGAAUGGCAUCAUUUGAUUUUGAAAGUUCCGACGGUUAAGGAUGAGUAUGCGUCUGAUUAGCUAGUUGGUGAGGUAAAGGCUCACCAAGGCAACGAUCAGUAGGGGAUCUGAGAGGACUACCCCCCACACUGGUACUGAGACACGGACCAGACUCCUACGGGAGGCAGCAGUAAGGAAUAUUGGUCAAUGGAGGCAACUCUGAACCAGCCAUGCCGCGUGCAGGAAGACGGCCCUAUGGGUUGUAAACUGCUUUUGUACGGGAGAAAACCCUUUCACGUGUGAGAGGUUGAUAGUACCGUAAGAAUAAGCAUCGGCUAACUUCGUGCCAGCAGCCGCGGUAAGACGAAGGAUGCAAGCGUUAUCCGGAUUCAUUGGGUUUAAAGGGAGCGUAGGUGGACUUGUAAGUCAGUGGUGAAAUCUCUCAGCUUAACUGAGAAACUGCCAUUGAUACUGCAGGUCUUGAGUACAGAUGAUGUGGGCGGAAUAUGACAUGUAGUGGUGAAAUACUUAGAUAUGUCAUAGA
RNAcentral lists this ribosomal RNA (637 nucleotides) under uncultured Bacteroidota bacterium. Its description in RNAcentral is "bacterial SSU rRNA". It matches the Rfam family "Bacterial small subunit ribosomal RNA", at positions 69 to 705 of the family's 1533-position model. Lineage: Bacteria; Pseudomonadati; Bacteroidota. The record is from RNAcentral.